RNAcentral lists this ribosomal RNA (253 nucleotides) under uncultured bacterium. RNAcentral's name for it is "partial 16S ribosomal RNA". It matches the Rfam family "Bacterial small subunit ribosomal RNA", at positions 524 to 776 of the family's 1533-position model. The record is from RNAcentral.
UACGUAGGGGUCGAGCGUUGUCCGGACUUACUGGGCGUAAAGCGUGGGUAGGUGGAUGGUGAUGUGCCGUGUGAAAGCGCCGCGCUUCUCGCGGCGAGGUCGCGGUAGACACACCAUCUAGAGGCACGGAGAGGGGCGUAGAAUUCCCGGUGUAGUGGUGAAAUGCGUAGAUAUCUGGAGGAACACCGGUGGCGAAGGCGGCAUCCUGGACCGGUAUUGACGCUGAGGCGCGAAAGCCAGGGGAGCAAACGGG